AUGGAGCCAAAAAAAAUCCAGCAAUAUAGGCCUAUUUGUCUGCUACGAUGUCCAUACAAGCUCAUUAUUAAAGUGUUGGACAAUAGAGCUUCCUUGUUUGCAGAUAUUCUAAUCAGCAAACAUCAAAAUGCAUUCAUAAAACGCAGGAAUAUUAUGGAUGGCAUUUUAACCCUUCAUGAAAUUCUUCAUCACACACAAAGGAAAAAGAAGAUUGGUGUGGUGUUGAAACUCGAUUUCGAAAAAGCAUAUGAUAAGAUCAAUUGGGAUUUCCUUCUUGAAUGCCACAGAAACAGGGGUUUUGGCCCGGUGUGGUGUGGGUGGAUCCAGAAUAUCCUUAAGAAUGGGACCAUUAAUAUCAAAGUGAAUAAUGAAAAAGGUCCUUACUUUCAAAGCUGCAAGGGUGUGCGACACGGGGACCCACACUCACCUUUUUUGUUCAAUAUGGCUGUGGAAGCCUUAUCCAAAAUGAUCCUGAAUGCUCAAAAAGAGAAAAUGAUAACAGGUCUAGCUCCGGACCUGAUUGAUGGGGGGGGGGUAGCUAUUCUCCAAUAUGCAGACGAUACAGUCGUGUGUUUUGAACAUGAUAAAGAAGCAGUGGUUAAUCUGAAACUCUUGCUUUAUCUGUUCGAACUUAUGUCAGGGCUUAAGAUUAAUUUUCUGAAGAGUGAAGUUCUGUGCAUUGGAGGGGAUGAUGAGACUCUUGCUUUUUAUUCUGAACUUUUUAAUUUCCAGAUUGGCCAUUUCCCUAUGAAAUACCUAGGGGUACCUGUGAGUUAUUCUACCCUCCGUGCGAUAGACUGGGAUUUUGUUGAUGACAAAUUCCUUAAAUGUUGUGAAUCCUAG
RNAcentral lists this ribosomal RNA (843 nucleotides) under Triticum aestivum (bread wheat). Its description in RNAcentral is "partial small subunit ribosomal RNA". The record is from RNAcentral. Lineage: Eukaryota; Viridiplantae; Streptophyta; Magnoliopsida; Poales; Poaceae.